GAUGAACGCUGGCGGCGUGCCUAAUACAUGCAAGUCGAGCGAACAGACGAGGAGCUUGCUCCUCUGACGUUAGCGGCGGACGGGUGAGUAACACGUGGAUAACCUACCUAUAAGACUGGGAUAACUUCGGGAAACCGGAGCUAAUACCGGAUAAUAUAUUGAACCGCAUGGUUCAAUAGUGAAAGACGGUUUUGCCGUCACUUAUAGAUGGAUCCGCGCCGCAUUAGCUAGUUGGUAAGGUAACGGCUUACCAAGGCAACGAUGCGUAGCCGACCUGAGAGGGUGAUCGGCCACACUGGAACUGAGACACGGUCCAGACUCCUACGGGAGGCAGCAGUAGGGAAUCUUCCGCAAUGGGCGAAAGCCUGACGAAGCAACGCCGCGUGAGUGAUGAAGGUCUUCGGAUCGUAAAACUCUGUUAUUAGGGAAGAACAAAUGUGUAAGUAACUAUGCACGUCUUGACGGUACCUAAUCAGAAAGCCACGGCUAACUACGUG
Molecule: ribosomal RNA, 497 nt
Filed under: uncultured bacterium
Lineage: Bacteria
Description: partial 16S ribosomal RNA
Rfam family: Bacterial small subunit ribosomal RNA
Source: RNAcentral